UCUGCUCUUUUUGGGCUGUUUCUGCACCUUCUGGAACCUUCUCUGAACCUUCCGGGACCUUCCAGAAAUUUCUGGGAUUUUUUGGGGAUUUUUUUCUCAGAAAUUCUGCUCUUUCUAUGCAUCUUUCAGGACCUGUCUGGGCGCUUUUUGGGCUGUUUUUCGGCUCUUUCUGCACCUUCCAGGACCUUUUCUGAACCUUCUCUGAACCUUCUGGGACCUUUCCAAAUUUUCUGGGAUUUUUUGGGAUUUUUUUCCCGGAAUUUUGGGGCUUUUUAUGUACCUUCCAGGACCUGUCUCUGCUAUUUCUGGGCUUUUUUGGGACCUUCCAGGACCUUCUCUGCACCUUCUGGAACCUUCUCUGAACCUUCCGGAGCCUUCCCGAAUUUUCUGGGAUUUUUUGGGAAUUUUCUGGGAUUUUUUUCCUGGAAUUUUGGGGCUUUUUAUGUACCUUCCAGGACCUGUCUGGGCUCUUUUUGGGCUAUUGCUGCACCUUCCAGGACCUUUUCUGAACCUUUCUGUA
Molecule: long non-coding RNA, 520 nt
Filed under: Zonotrichia albicollis (white-throated sparrow)
Lineage: Eukaryota; Metazoa; Chordata; Aves; Passeriformes; Passerellidae
Description: lncRNA (ENSZALG00000005389.1)
Source: RNAcentral